This 656-nucleotide ribosomal RNA is filed under the name fungal endophyte. Its description in RNAcentral is "eukaryotic LSU rRNA". The stretch from base 191 to 344 matches the Rfam family "5.8S ribosomal RNA". The record is from RNAcentral. Lineage: Eukaryota; Fungi.
CGGAGGGAUCAUUAAAGAGUUCUAUAACUCCCAAACCCAUGUGAACAUACCAAACGUUGCCUCGGCAGGUCGCACCUACCUUGUAGCACCCUAUCCUGUAGGGCCUACCCGGGACGUGCGGGUAAGCCUGCCGGCGGCCCAUUCAACUCUGUUUGAUAUUGAAUUCUGAACCUAUAACUAAAUAAGUUAAAACUUUCAACAACGGAUCUCUUGGUUCUGGCAUCGAUGAAGAACGCAGCGAAAUGCGAUAAGUAAUGUGAAUUGCAGAAUUCAGUGAAUCAUCGAAUCUUUGAACGCAUAUUGCGCCCAUUAGUAUUCUAGUGGGCAGGACCGUUCGAGCGUCAUUUCGACCCUUAAGCCUUAGUUGCUUAGUGUUGGGAGCCUACGGCGACGUAGCUCCUCAAAGUUAGUGGCGGAGUUGGUUCACACUCUAGACGUAGUAAUUUUUUAUCUCGCCUAUCAGUUGGACCGAUCCCCUGCCGUAAAACCCCCAACUUCUCAAGGUUGACCUCGAAUCGGUUCAGACAAACUCGCUAAAUUGAAGCAUCUUAGUCAGCGAAGGAAAAGAAACCAACAGGGAUUGCCCUAGUAACGGCGAGUGAAGCGGCAACAGCUCAAAUUUGAAAUCUGGCCCUCGGGUCCGAGUUGUAAUUUGU